Molecule: ribosomal RNA, 253 nt
Filed under: uncultured bacterium
Lineage: Bacteria
Description: partial 16S ribosomal RNA
Rfam family: Bacterial small subunit ribosomal RNA
Source: RNAcentral
UACAGGGGGUGCAAACGUUGCUCGGAAUUAUUGGGCGUAAAGCGCGCGUAGGCGGCCACCUAAGUCGGAUGUGAAAGCCCCUGGCUUAACCGGGGAAGUGCACCCGAAACUGGGUAGCUAGAGUGCAAAAGAGGGUCGCGGAAUUCCCAGUGUAGAGGUGAAAUUCGUAGAUAUUGGGAGGAACACCGGUGGCGAAGGCGGCGACCUGGGUUGACACUGACGCUGAGGCGCGAAAGCGUGGGGAGCAAACAGG